AUGCUGCACUCUAUAUUUAAAAAUAACUGUUUGCUUUUGUCCCCGUGGAUUUCCUGCAGAUUUAACAACUAGAGACAAUUUCUGCAUGUUACUCACCUCGUGCAGGUUAUCUAUGAGCUUCCACUGCUUCUUAAUCAUCCAUUCAGCCUGAGAACACCAUUAACUUCUUUGCUUCAUAUUUUUGGCAACGUGACGCCUAUUGAUGACAUCAGAGCUAAGAAACAUGCAUCUCCAGGAAGUACUGAGCUUGAUAAUUGCCUAGAAGUAACUCUAAUAGUUUAAAUUAAUGCUAUACCUAAUAUAUCUUAACUUUUAACUUGGUUUGGAGGCUACAUGUCAGAUUUUUAAAUAUCUCAUUGUGGAAUACAUAAGUCACGAUCUGAGGCAAGAAAGCUUGUAGGGAAAAAAAAAAGGAGGAAAAAAAAGAAAGAACAUAAGGUGAAGAUAUAACUGUCCUGGAAUGUCAGACGGGUACAGGAAAGGAUUAAGCAGCUGCAUACCAUCUGUAUUUUCAAAGAGGAAAGAGGGCCAAACAGAUUGCCUAGCUGUGCACUAAAGGAGUCUACCAGUAAUGGCAGGCAGAAGAAUCAUCAACUCUCAGGAGCAUGGUACAGUGUCCAGUAGUGGGGUCAAGUAUGCAGCAACAUGGAUGUUUGUUCACAACUGAUGUCAGUGGACUUCAAGGCCCAGUGGAUUUGCAGGACAUAAUACAAUUUCUGUCUUCCAGAGUAUAUUAGCUUUGAGUCCUGUCAUUUAAACUGUUAUCCCCAAAAGAGGGUAAUAAACACUGUUACAAAUAUGUGCAUUAAUGGAGUCAUACAUUAGGUACAUGCGAUCAUCAGUGGGUGUGCAAAAACCAAAAUAUAUACAAGAUAUGAUUAAUAACUUUGCUUGCCACAGUUAACCGUACUACUUAUUCUGGUUAGCAUGCUUUCUCAUAGUAUAGUUAUUUCAAGUCACGUUGUUUUGGGAUGUCAGGUAGUCAGCAAUUAAUGAUAGCUGAUUUUCACAUUGUAAUUAUACACUUUUGGGUUUACCAUUUCAUUUCGGUGAGCAGCUGUAGCCUCUGCAGUCAUCCUGUCUUCAGUACUGAGGACUUGAAUCUGUAUUCAUUGUAUGUUAUAAAUACUGUACUGCCCUUUCUGCAAAUAUUGUAUGUAAAAAGUUAACUGUUGCUGUUUAUUGUUUAUACAUGCACCUAUUUUCUUCUAUGUACUUCCUGUAAUAUUCUUAUGUGCUCACUCAUUUCUGUGUAUGUAGAAUUAUGCUUGUAUUGUACAUGUUUUCUUAGCAAAUCUUGUAUGUCUGAAGGUUUUGUCCCCUGGGUCUGCACUGUAAAUGUGUUUUUGUCCUUUUGAACGUUCGAGUUUCAAUAAAUAAAUAGGCUACUGAUACAAAUUACAGGGAAGCUUGGCUCUGCCAUGAUAUUGGGACUGAGUUAGUACAUUCUUUAUGCUAUUUGCAGGAAUUAAUACUUCAGAGUACGAUACAGUAAAUGUUUAUCCUGGCAUUAUUCAAAAGGUUGUACAUUCACUGCACUAUGCCUUAGUCAUGUCAACAGAAUACUUCCUGUGGUCUGUACCAGUGGUGACUCCAGCAGUCAAACAGACAAGGGAUCUAAUGUUGACUAAAGGAUAAGAGGCAGCUCAUAUCUGCAGAAUUUGCCUGGCUUUUACCCCCUGCCAUGUCACCUACCAGUACUGGGUGACAUGACUGAUGGCCUCUUUUGCCGUAAAAUUAGGAAGGACAUCUGAACCCAUUCUUGUAUGAGUACUUGGCAAAAGCUGCUGCAUUGGAAACUUUAACAGCUUUUCAUUGUGGAAGAGAGCCUAGAAGACUAGUUUGUUUACCCAUUUAAAUAUACAAAUUAAAUUAACAUAAAAAAAAAUGGUUUAUUCUAGACCAGUACUAAGAGCUGUAGUAGUGUUACUGUACUAAUGAUGCUUCACCAUAGGAGUGCCACCUAUGAAAGAGAGUAUGACAAACCUCCCAGGGUGACUCUGCAAAAAUUACAGUCUCAUGAGGUCAUUGUGUUAAAUCUGGGCUUUUUAAUCCUUGGUGAACUCCAACAUCUGUCUUACAGAAUUGUUAUACCUUAAGUUAGGCAAGAUUCCAUGGGUGAAUUCACACCAGAAUGUAAAAAAAUGUAUGUUGAAGGGUUUUAAAUGCAAUGCGUUAUUGUGCCAAGUGAUGUAACUUCAUCAUAGCAAGCUAGAACUGCACUACAACAUGUACCAAAAUAAAGGUGUACAUCAUA
Protopterus annectens (West African lungfish) is the source of this 2257-nucleotide long non-coding RNA. RefSeq lists it as uncharacterized. The transcript has 2 exons. The record is from RefSeq and is a predicted model, not a curated record. NCBI's taxonomy places the organism in Eukaryota, Metazoa, Chordata, Ceratodontiformes, Protopteridae.